RNAcentral lists this unclassified non-coding RNA (235 nucleotides) under Hevea brasiliensis (rubber tree). The record is from RNAcentral. Lineage: Eukaryota; Viridiplantae; Streptophyta; Magnoliopsida; Malpighiales; Euphorbiaceae.
GGUAUAGUUCCCCGCAUCCAAUUCUCUCAUACAGACAUUCUCAUGCUUUAUAUGCCUCGGGUAUCAAAAACAUUGUCAGUUGACAAGCAGAUGUUUACAACCUGUAGACUGGGAACUUGAUAUGUGGGCUGUACUCUGCUGAACAGUUUUUCACAAUCGUUAUAUUUUUAAAUAGUGAACGAAUUUAUCUAGGCUUAUCUUAAUAUUAAAUGCAUUCAAGAUAAGAAUUCGCCCG